UCGCGUGCACUGGGGUCGGUGAAAUUCCGAGCCGGCGGUGACAGUCCGCGACCCGAUGGCCUCUGGCCCUCGGCUGACCAGGUGGAACUCCUGGGCCGACGGUGAGAGUCCGGAUGGGAAGCGCACGCGA
Regulatory RNA element from Brachybacterium faecium DSM 4810, 130 nucleotides. It matches the Rfam family "FMN riboswitch aptamer (RFN element)". From Rfam's summary of the family: The RFN element is a highly conserved domain that is found frequently in the 5'-untranslated regions of prokaryotic mRNAs that encode for flavin mononucleotide (FMN) biosynthesis and transport proteins. NCBI's taxonomy places the organism in Bacteria, Bacillati, Actinomycetota, Actinomycetes, Micrococcales, Dermabacteraceae. The record is from Rfam.